UAUGGUUUUAGUUGCAGUAUCCGUGGGUGGGUAUGUUAUAUAUUGCAUAGGGAAAUACAUAUCAUCCUAAUGAUUGUUAUUUGCUGCAGGUUUGCUAUACAUAGAGAAAUACAUAUCCAAUGCAAAAUAAUAUUUUAAAUGUGGCAUGCAUAUAGUACAGUUUACUCUUAUUUUCCAGUUUCAUCUUGUUUUUUUUUUUUUUUUUUUUUUUUUUAAAUCUGGAUAUUGGUAAAGAAACAAUAUUUUGGGCUUAAAGUUUGGGUUUAGAGAGUUGCUAAAGGCUUUUUUUUUUUAAUAUUUUGGAUUUAAAGUUUGGGUUUAGAGAGUUGCUAAAGGCUUUUCUUUUAAUAUUUUGGGCUUAAAGUUUGGCAAUACGUUGGACUUAUCAUAUUUAGGCUUAUAAAUUGGGUUUAGAAAAUAAUACCAAAAACAAGUAAUUAAAUAAAAAAAAUUAAUUUAAUUAAUUCGGUUUGAUUCAAUUUCUAGACCACUGAAAUCGAAACUGAACCAGAAGAAUUCUGAGUUCGGUUCUGUUCGGUUUUAUUUUUUUCAGUUUUUUUUUUUGUUUAACCCACAGUUAAUUAUUAGCAUGCCCAUUGCAGCAUACCCUAAUGUUUGAAGUUAUAACAGUAGCAACCUUAAUUUUUGGAUUGUCUAUUGAUGUCUCACUUGAAAAGUCACAAUAGAUUCGCUUCCUCUUUCCUGCCAUAGUGAUAUUCUUCGAGAAGAAAAAUUAACAAAGUUAAACUAUGCAUCACAUUAGUAGCUUCUCCAAUUGCCAUAACUAUAUGAAAAUGCAAAGAUCAAAACAUGCAAGUACAUCACAUUAGUUUCCAUAUCUAUUGUCCUUUGAAAACUAUGUAACAUCUUAAACGUCUCUUGAUCAUCAUGAUUCUCACUAUCACUAUCAGUGAAUACAUCUCAAAAUGUAUGUCUAAGGAACAUCCAACUUCGAGCCAUUGCUAAAAAUUAUUAUCUAUAUCUUAUAAAUCAAAAUCCACAUAUAAUUCACAACAUGGACAACAUGAGAGGUUAAAACAAUAAAAUUAAAAGUCAAACAACUUACCAGAUGGUAUACUCAAUGAUUUCCAACUAGAAUUACAGUUCUCCUACUGCCAAUUGAAAAAAUAUAACAACACAACCCUUAGUUGAUCAAAAUCAGCUGUUUUGAAUUGAAACUUACAAGAGGUCAUGGUAUAAAUGGU
Molecule: long non-coding RNA, 1205 nt
Filed under: Malus domestica (apple)
Lineage: Eukaryota; Viridiplantae; Streptophyta; Magnoliopsida; Rosales; Rosaceae
Description: long non-coding RNA (MDOM_LNC000502)
Source: RNAcentral